Capsicum annuum is the source of this 2388-nucleotide non-coding RNA. Lineage: Eukaryota; Viridiplantae; Streptophyta; Magnoliopsida; Solanales; Solanaceae. The record is from Rfam.
CGACCCCAUGUCACGCAGGAUUACCCGCCGAGUUUAAGCAUAUCAAUAAGCGGAGAAAAAGAAACUUUAAAGGAUUCCCUUGGUAACGGCGAGGGAACUGGAAAUAGCCCAGCCUUAGAAUCGAGCAGCUCUGUCACCUGAAUUGUAGUUUGGAGAAGCGUCCUCAGCGGUGGACCAGGCCCGACUCCCCUGAAAGGGGGAACCAGAGAGGGUGAGAGCCCCAUUGCGCCCAGACCCUGUCACACCAUGGGGUACUAUCUAGGUGUUGGGUUGUUUGGGAAUGUAUCCAAAAUCGGGCAAUGAAUUCCGUCCAAUGCUAAAUACGGGCGACAGUUCAAUAGCGAACAAGUACUGUGAGGGAAAGAUUAAAAGGACUUUGAAAAGAGAGUCAAAGAGUGAUUGAAAUUAUCGGGAGGGAAGUGGAUUGGGACCAACGAUGCGCCCCGGUCGGAUGUGAAAUAGCAAUAAACUGGUCCGUCGAUCGACUCGGGGCGUGGACCAGCGUGGAUUGGGAGGCAUCUAAAGCCCAGGAUCUUGAUACGCUCGUGGAAUUCCGUUUUCUCAAUUGUGGCAGGCAGCGCGUGCCUCCAGCAUGCUUUAGCAUCUGCGCACGACGGGUUUUCGACCCGUCUUGAAAACCAGGAUGUGGCGGUCAACAAAAAUGUUAGAAAGUCUGUACACGUCGGUGGGAGCCUCGGGAAGAGUUAUCUUUUCUAUUUAACAGCCUGCCCACCUUUGAAUUGGCUCAGCCGAAGGUAGGGUCCAGUGGAUGGAAGAGCACCGCACGUCGCGUGUUGUCCGGUGCACUACCAGCGACCCUUGAAAAUCUAGAGAACCUAAUAUCACCCAUUACCGAUCGUACUCAUCACCACAUCAAGUCUCCAAGGAGAACAACCUCUGGUCGAUGGAAAAAUAUAGGCAAGGAAAGUCGGGAAAAUGGAUCCGUAACUUCUGGAAAAGGAUUGGUAUUGAGGGCUGGGCACGGAGGUCCCAGUCCCAAACCCAUCGACUGUCGGUGGACUACUCGAGCUGCUCCUGCAGUGAGAGCGGGUUGCUGUGUGCCAGUCGGGGGAUGGACUAGGAACGGUUCCAUUGGAGGCAUUCCCCGCGCGUCGAAUAGCCAACUCAAAACUGGUAUUAAUAAGGGGAAUCCAACUGUUUAAUUAAAACAAAGAAUUGUGAUGCUCCCAACGGAUGUUCACGUAUUGUGAUUUCUGCCCAGUGCUCUGAAUGUCAAAGUGAAGAAAUUCAACCAAGCACGGGUAAACGGCGGGAGUAACUAUGACUCUCUUAAGGUAGUCAAAUGCCUCCUCAUUUAAUUAGUGAUACGCAUGAAUGGAUUAAAGAGAUUCACACUAUCCCUGUCUACUAUCUAGAGAAACCACAGCCAAGGGAACGGGCUUGGCAGAAUCAGCGGGGAAAGAAUACCCUCUGGAGCUUGACUCUACUCUGACUUUAUGAAAUGACUUAAGAGGUGUAGUAUAAGUGGGAUCCGAAUAGAGAAAGUGAUAUACCACUACUUUUAACGUUAUUUUACUUAUUUUGUGAAUCGAAAGUGGGGCACUGCCCCUCUUUUUUGACCCAAGGCUUGCUCUGCGGGCCGAUUCGGGCGGAAGACGUUGUCAAGUGGGGAGUUUGGAUGGGACAGCACAUCUGGUAAAAGAUAAUGCAGGUGUCCUAAGAUGAGCUUUACGAGAACAGAAAUAUCGUGUGGAACAGAAGGGUAAAAGCUUGUUUGAUUCUGAUUUCCAGUACAAAUACGAACCAUGAAAGCAUGGCCUAACGAUCCUUUAGACCUUCAGAAUUCGAAUCUAGAGAAGUCAGAAAAGUGUUACCACAGGGAUAACUAGCCUGUUGCAGCCAAGCGAUCAUAGUGGCGUCGCUUUUUCAUCAUGUGAACCAGAUUUCACCAAGUGUUGGGCUGUUCACCCACCAAUAGGGAACGUGAGCUUGGUAUAGACCGUCGUGAGAUAGGUUAGUUUUACCUUACUUAUGACAGUAUCGCAGUAGUAAUUAAACCUAGUAUGAGAGGAAAUGUUGAUUCACACAAUUUGUCAUCGCACUUGGUUGAAAAGCCAAUGGUGCAAAGCUACCGUCUGCUGGAUUAUGACUGAAUGCCUCUACGUCAGAAUCUGAGCUAAAAGCGAUGCAUGCAACCGCUGUCCACUUUCUGACCCACAGUUGGGGCUUCAUCCCGCAAGGAAACGUGUCGUUUGCUAAGCAACCACGGCGAAAGAGUCGCGGUGUCCACCUUGAAGUGUAAUUUCAAUCGAGCGGCAGGUAGAAUCCUUUGCAAAUGACUUAAAUAUGAGAUGGGGUAUUGUAAGUGGAAGAGUGUCCUUGCUGCCACGAUCCACUGAGAUUCAUCCCUUUGUCGCUCUUGUUCGU